This 71-nucleotide transfer RNA is filed under the name marine eukaryotic metagenome. It matches the Rfam family "tRNA". Rfam says of the family: Transfer RNA (tRNA) molecules are approximately 80 nucleotides in length. Their secondary structure includes four short double-helical elements and three loops (D, anti-codon, and T loops). The record is from RNAcentral.
GUGCUAUAGCUCAGUUGGUAGAGCAAAGGACUGAAAAUCCUUGUGUCCCCGGUUCGAAUCCUGGUAGCACC